UUAAACUACAGCAGGUUGAAAUGAGAGCUGAGAAUGACAGAGAGAGCAGGUACUGACCUCCAUACUAAAAGAUGUACAACAAAGGCAUUUGCUCUAAGUUCUCAUGGAAAGCCUUUUAGACAAAUUAAUUAAGCAAUAAGACAUGACAGGGUGUGAAUCGCUUGGUAAUGAUUUACGCCUAUUGUGUUGUUAGGCAGAAGGCCAAAGGCCGAGUGCUGUCAAAUCACCUAGGUGUAAAUUAUCAUUUGAUAAUUUGAGCCCUGGAGUGCGUUACUGUAAUUAGAAGGUGUUCUAUCAUAAGUUUUCUACUUCAUUCAAUUUUUUUUUUCGAUUCUCAGCUCCAUUUUGAUACUUAGAAUGCUAUCAUUAAAAAUGAAACCUUUUCUUGCAAGAUUAUUUCAGACAACUACUAGCCUGAGAGACUUUACACAAACCCUGUCAUAUACCACAAUGCAUAGCAGAUAAGUCAAUGCAGGCAUGUCAUCAAUGUAAUUUAAUCACCGUGCCUUCAUUCAUAAAGCCAGUUACAGACAAAGGGAGGUAUUAGGGUUGUAGGGGAAUGUGCAAUCAAAAUUAGUCGGAAGUUAGGUGCAGAGUCAAUGAAGAGGAAUGAGGCAGCUGCAAUUUCUCUUUUCAAAUUAAAUAGCACAAAAAGAUGGAGAGAUAAUAACAUGAAUUCUUCCAAGUUCCAGCAUCCAGACAGCUGCAGAAACCACAAGAAAUCCACUCCAAAGCUUGAGUAUUCAAACUGAGAGAAUUAAAGUCUAGCAAGGGCUGUUCAAUGCAAAGAAGUGAACACCAUCUCUAACUCUGGAAAUUCAUACAAUGCAGUUUAUUGGAAGAAGGUUAUCACUGCCUGCUUGUCUACUUGUUCUGUGUUUCUGGAGAUGGGAUAUUUAAGUAGCAGGAUCUCCAAUUUGAUCAAAUUUGCCAUUCAUAGGUACUUAGGGUCAUUGAUUACAUGUACUGAGCAGAAAAAAGGUAUUUUCAAGUCUGGCAGAGAAAUGGAUGUCAUGACAGUCUCUUUUUGCCUCUUGUCUCAUCUGUGGCUCCAACAUAGGGAAAAAUAUUUUAUCAAAUCCAGCUAUUGUUUCCUAAACAUUAACCAAGAUCACACUUAUAUGCAAUAGAACAUCCUUAAUGUUCUUGCAUGACUACAUGACAGCAGCCUUCACUGCAGAAUUCCUAACACUGGAACAAUUCCCACUGAGAAGAAGCAGUCCCACGAUGGCAGUACCAGGGUGAAAUGUUAAGGUCAAUCAAGAGAACAUCUUUCUGAGCAUUAGACACACUCAGAAAAAGAAAAUUUUAUUACUGGUCAGCCAUGAUUUCAAAACCUGUUUGCAAGAAACUGUCUUGUAAGGGAUAUAACUGUAAAAACAGAACAGGUCAAAUUUGUUCUGAAAAAUGAUAGGUCUUAAAAUUAUUUUUCUGGAGUUUACUUUUGAUGUUUGCUUAUCAGUGGCAUAUGCUCUUUUUUUUUUUUUUUUUUUUUUUUUUUUUUUUUUUUUGUUGAGAUUCUUUUUGCAUCUAGUUUUUUCCAUACAUUUUUGUAUUGUCACAAAAGCUGCCACACAUCCACAUUGCAUUUAUUUAAUCAGAAGGAUUCAGAUAGCAUGAUACUUGGUUUUACUGUCUGUCUAGUAUAUUAUUAGUAGGUUAGGGUUUGGAAAAGUGACAGAGAAACAGAUGUUGGGAUUAUUUUAUGUAGCUUGAAUACCAUAAUGAUAUACAGUUGUCAGAAGCAUCUAUUUUCUUAUUUUAGGAAGAUGAUUAUUUAAUGGCUUGACUUUUUAUAACCCAGAGGGGAGAGGAAAAUAAAAUGAAGGACCUGAGGAAAAUAUCUAAGGAAGGAGUGAUGAAUGUUUAGUCUGUGCAUAAAAGUUUAUGCAGAACAUGUGCAAUUUAUGAAAUUGUUCUAAGGGAAUAAUCCUGGCUGUGCCUGUUUCCCUCACAGAUACAUAUUUAAUGAAAUAAGGUAAAAUAAAUCUAUGGUCUCAUGAUUUGCAUGUCCUUGGUUUGCUGUAAAGCAUGAUGGGAAGGAGACACGAUAUUUCUUAGAUGCAGCCUAAUAAUGUAACAUGCAGAGGUUACUCCCUUUCUCAGAAGGAAACAGAAGGCUUGGAAAUGAAGAUUUUGGACAUGCUUGCCAUGGCUUCAUUCCCUUUUUGCUAUGCUUAUCCAUCACAGUGGGGAAAAUGAUCUAGCUGGUGUGCAAAGGACAAAGGUCAAAAAAACUUCAUUUUUUUUUCCUACAUUUAGUGUCUUAGUUUUGGACUUUCAGCUAUGAAAUAAUAAGACCAAGUUUUCUUUUAGUUGCUCAUGAGUUUGCUUGCUUUGUUUUCUGGCCACCUGCUCAAAUGACAUUUUUAGGAAGAAACUGAGGGACAGUGGAAAUAUUAUGAAAAGGACAUAGCUCCCACAGCCUUGGUGCAUACCUUUAGGAAUGAAUAUCCAUUUCUACCUUUCUUUACCUCUAAUUCCUCUUUUCCUGCCUAUUUCCUCACUUCAUGUUAAUACCAGAUGUGGAAAGAAUUCAAUAUCUGGUAAGACAAUUACAUAUAGUUCCCAUCACUAUAAUUAAAGUCUAAAUAGUGCAGGCACUCAGCUAUUUCUGGAGGUGAAAUAAGUCUCAAAAAUUAGUUCCUUGAGCAGUGGGGAAACCAAUAUCUGUAUAUUUUUCAUUGAGCAUUCAGAGUAGGCAUGGAUACCUCAACCACAGACAUCUGUGGAAACAUUCUGGGGGAAAAAAAUCGAGAAAACAGAGUUGUGUGUGGAUUGGUGUGGCUCUGAGUCCAAUGUGGGGAGAAACUUCCCUGCAUGUACAUGCACAUUCACAUGCAGACACACGUGCACAGAGAGAGAUGUUCUGUGACUUCUGAAAUCUCUUAUUUAACAAAAUAGAGAAGAUGAAUUAUGAGUCUUCAAAAAGCACAUGAAAUUGGGGAUGAAUAGAGUAACUGCACAGGAUGAUAUAGUCAAGUAAAUCCUUAGGAAAUUUGUGAAGAUCUUUAUUAUUAAUAUCAAAUAUUCUCUUUUCUUGUUAAAGGCAUAAAUCUCUGUAAUGAAAUAGAGUUCAUCACCUCUGGAUUUAUAUUCUUAGCAGGGGUUUAGAUAUUUAUGGAUGCCUCCCAAAAAAUCUAAGAGGUAAUAAAGAAGUACUGAUCUAAUAAAGUCAACAGGUAGUUGAUGCAACAUUUGAAUUUAGGCUUCACUAUGUAAUUACAAGGUUUCAGCAUAUAAUAUACAGAACUGCCUCUGGACAUUCAUCAGAAGUGUCUCCUUUUGAUUCACUUACCUAGCCAUUUGUUUCUAUCUAGUAUUACUCAAUUCAUAGGCAACUGGGAAAGGAGGUAUCUGUUAGUAAAAUUAUUUUAAUUAAGAUAUUUAAGAAGCAGAACAUGCAUUUUUUCCAUGAAGUUUUAAUCAAAAAGCACUGUACAUCAUGCUUUAAAGCAACAAUGGUUAUUGCCAGUAUUACCAUAAGAUUAUUAGAUUAAUCACCGAUCAUAUUAUUUAUUCUUUCUUCUCUCUCCUUUUAUUUACUUUAAAAUAUUAAUUUCAUGGGUGUUAUUGAUGGUGAAGAACAAAGAAAAGAAAGUCAGCUGAGUCUCCACUGCUCCAGUGCUCCAAUUCUGUUUUCACAGGAGCAAGUUUUUAUUAUUCGGCUAUGCCCAGCCAUUUUUU
This is a long non-coding RNA of Taeniopygia guttata (zebra finch), 3687 nucleotides long. The record is from Ensembl. Lineage: Eukaryota; Metazoa; Chordata; Aves; Passeriformes; Estrildidae.